GUCCCUGGCUUUAAGGGUGUCGUGAAAGGCCUGGAUGGAGGCUCAACCUCCUAAGUUCUCUUACAGGGGUGAGAAAUACUGAAGGACUAACGCAAUAAGUGUGUGAAUCUGAGAGGGGAAUAUGUUGAAUAAAAUCAUAAUUAACUGAUCCUCCUGUAUUUUUUUUACCCAAAGCCAGGAACUUUUCAGGACCAAUUCUUGUGUGUGUGU
Molecule: long non-coding RNA, 210 nt
Organism: Octopus sinensis (East Asian common octopus)
Lineage: Eukaryota; Metazoa; Mollusca; Cephalopoda; Octopoda; Octopodidae
Exons: 3
Source: RefSeq, a predicted model, not a curated record